Molecule: ribosomal RNA, 433 nt
Filed under: uncultured bacterium
Lineage: Bacteria
Description: partial 16S ribosomal RNA
Rfam family: Bacterial small subunit ribosomal RNA
Source: RNAcentral
AACGAACGCUGGCGGCAUGCCUAACACAUGCCAGUCGAACGAGACCUUCGGGUCUAGUGGCGCACGGGUGCGUAACGCGUGGGAACCUGCCCUUAGGUUCGGAAUAACUCCCCGAAAGGGGUGCUAAUACCGGAUAAUGUCUUCGGACCAAAGAUUUAUCGCCUUUGGAUGGGCCCGCGUUGGAUUAGCUAGUUGGUAGGGUAAAAGCCUACCAAGGCGACGAUCCAUAGCUGGUCUGAGAGGAUGAUCAGCCACACUGGGACUGAGACACGGCCCAGACCCCUACGGGAGGCAGCAAGGGGGGAUAAUGGACAAUGGGCGAAAGGCUGAUCCAGCAAUGGCGCGGUAGGUGAUAAGGGCUUAGGGGUGGAAAGCCUUUUUUCCCCGGAUGAUUAAGACAGGACCGGGAGAAUUAGCCCCGGCUAACUCCGUG